AAACCUGAGAGUUUGAUCCUGGCUCAGAACGAACGCUGGCGGCAGGCUUAACACAUGCAAGUCGAACGCACUCUUCGGAGUGAGUGGCAGACGGGUGAGUAACGCGUGGGAAUCUACCCAUCUCUACGGGAUAGCUCCGGGAAACUGGAAUUAAUACCGUAUACGUCCUGAGGGAGAAAGAUUUAUCGGGGAUGGAUGAGCCCGCGUUGGAUUAGCUGGUUGGUGGGGUAAUGGCCUACCAAGGCGACGAUCCAUAGCUGGUCUAAGAGGAUGAUCAGCCACAUUGGGACUGAGACACGGCCCAAACUCCUACGGGAGGCAGCAGUGGGGAAUAUUGGACAAUGGGCGCAAGCCUGAUCCAGCCAUGCCGCGUGAGUGAUGAAGGCCCUAGGGUUGUAAAGCUCUUUCAGUGGGGACGAUAAUGACGGUACCCACAGAAGAAGCCCCGGCUAACUUCGUGCCAGCAGCCGCGGUAAUACGAAGGGGGCUAGCGUUGUUCGGAAUUACUGGGCGUAAAGCGUACGUAGGCGGACAUUUAAGUCAGGGGUGAAAUCCCGGGGCUCAACCCCGGAACUGCCUUUGAUACUGGAUGUCUUGAGUCCGGAAGAG
This 609-nucleotide ribosomal RNA is filed under the name Aurantimonas marianensis. RNAcentral's name for it is "Bacterial small subunit ribosomal RNA". It matches the Rfam family "Bacterial small subunit ribosomal RNA", at positions 1 to 656 of the family's 1533-position model. Lineage: Bacteria; Pseudomonadati; Pseudomonadota; Alphaproteobacteria; Hyphomicrobiales; Aurantimonadaceae. The record is from Rfam by way of RNAcentral.